This 96-nucleotide ribosomal RNA is filed under the name uncultured bacterium. RNAcentral's name for it is "partial 16S ribosomal RNA". The record is from RNAcentral.
CACCGCCCGUCACAUCACGAAAGUGGGUUGUACUAGAAGUCUGUGCCCUGACCCGCAAGGGGAGGAGCGGCCCAAGGUAUGACUCAUGAUUGGGUG